GGUCUAUUACACAAACAACAUAGAGAUAUAUAUUGCAAUUGCAAAAGCCUUCCACAGAUAGGCAGGGAAGAAAUGGGCAACGCUCAGUCGCCUUCGGCGGAUCCUCGCUUCGCUUCUGCCACCAGGUUUCUUUCUCUUUACACACACACAUACUCGCAAUAAAGUGUAAUAUGCUUACAAUUGAGGAGUUUCGAUUUUAGUACAGAGCCUUUACUCCACACGAACUGGAUGACCUCAAAUUAUUCUUUGUUUCCCUUGCUGCUCAAUCUCAGAGCAAAGGUGACUACAUUUCCUCUUCUGUUUUUCAGGCAUAUUUUGGAUUGAAGGGGCCUUUAGGAGAGAGAUUGUUCGAUUUAGUUACCCAGAAGCGAAAAGAUAACAAACUCUCCUUCGAGGACCUCGUGAUAGCUAAAAGCGUUUAUGAGAAAGGAACAAAAGAUGAGAUUGAUGAGUUUGUUUAUCAAUUAUUGGAUAUAACAGAUGAUGGGAUUUUAGGAAGGUCUGAUCUAGAAUCUGUUCUAAUUGUGAUUUUGAAGAGUGUUUUUUCCCUGAAAGUUAAAGAAGAUGGAUCAAGCUCAUGUCAGGAUGUUGCCAACGUAUUUCUUAAUGCUGCAACUUUUUCAAAGGAUGUUCAAGGAGCUGCUGAAAAAAGUAUGUCUUUUGAGGAUUUCAGAGGUUGGUGUAGUCUUCUCCCAUCAGUCAGGAAGUUUCUUGGAAGCUUGUUGAUUCCACCAGAUGCAGGGAGGCCUGGUUCUCAAGUUCCUCACUUGGUGCAUGGGGAAAAUAUUGAUCCUAACAUGAUACUGUUAAGGAAGGAGUAUGCUUGGCAUAUAGGAGGAGCCCUUUCUCAACAAGAGCUGGAGGAAUGGAAACUUUUGUACCAUAGUGCUGUUAAUGGCCUAAGUUUCAACACAUUCUUGGGCAGUGUCUCGUGAGUAGUUUAUUUCUCUUAUACUUUUAUCUUAUCUAUGUGUAUCCAUCAGAUUGUUUAGUCAUUAGUCCUCCCAGAGAAAAAUAUGCUACUAUAUUUUGUCAGUUCUGUCCUGCUUCAUAUUGAAAGGUGGCCUUCUGAGCUUCAUUAACUGCUGUUUAGAAACAUGGAAAUAAAUAUCUUGGUGCUUCAAUGGUUAGGCUGUUUAGUAAAUGUUCCACAUGGUAGAACUUGUUCUCUUCAGAACAAAUUUAGAAGUCGACGAGGGAAACUUUGUGUCUAUUGGUUGGACUUUUGUCUUGAUGUAAAUUACUGGGUUUUCUCGAACGUGCCAAUGCCUGCUACAAUAAUCUAGUAUUAUAUUAGUUAUUAUCUAUGUACUAUGAUUGGAUGUCUGAAUUUGAUAUUUCAAUUUGCAAAUGGCAAAUACAUUUUUAUAUGUUUCUUCAUAUUAAUAUUUAUGGUCGUAAAUGCUUCCUUAUAUCUGUGAGACUGUGACUAAAUAAAUGGCAUGUGCUCAAUGCAAUUUAUACUGAAAACUUCUCAAGGCAAUGCCUUAGGGUGCAUACAUGAAACGAGAUUCAUAUUAGCCAUAGCAUUUUAAGAGGCUGUUUUUGGCAAAAAUAUCUGUUCAUAUUGUAUUUGGUGCAUGCAUUCAGUAUGUACACAUUCAUAAAACUACUGUAAUGUACAUUCAUUAGAGUUCCUUUUUAAGGUAAUGUACAUGGGUUUUCUCAUUCUAAGUUCCUUUCUUUCAAUAGAGAAAAUAGAAUAUAAAGGCUAUGCAUUUUCUAAUUUUAUUUCAGUUUCUUGGUUGGUGGAACUAUUUUUGAGAAGUGGAAUGGGUAAUUGUUCGAUUGAACUGCAGAAAUGGCGAAGGGCCAACAGUUUUGAUUGUUAAGGAUAAAGAAGACUGCAUAUAUGGAGGUUAUGCUUCUCAGCCUUGGGAAAGGCAUGGCGAUUUCUAUGGAGACAUGAAGUCUUCUCUCUUUCAGCUGUAUCCUAAAGCUUCAAUCUUCAAGCCCACUGGAGCAAACAACAAUAUACAAUGGUGUGCUGCGAAUUUUAGUUCAGAAAACAUCCCAAACGGCAUUGGUUUUGGUGGCCGAGUAAAUCACUUUGGUCUUUUCCUCUCAGCAAGCUUUGAUCUAGGACAUACCUUCACUUGCACCACAUUUGGUAGCCCUUCCCUUUCUAAGACCAGUCGUAUACUUCCAGAAGUUAUAGAAUGCUGGGGAAUUGUUCAAAAAGGAGUACAGCAAGAAAAGCAGGAUGCCCUGAAAGUUACAGUAUUGGAGAGAUUCAAGGAGGAUCGCCACAUGCUCAACAUGGUCGGGCUUGCAAAUUCGAGCGAAUAAUUCUAGUGAGCUUUCUAGCAUCACAGUAUGCAAUUCCACAAAAUGACUUACAGUAAUAGUUGAUCUAGUGCCCAUGUGCAUAAGACAUUGGAUUCUGAUAUGGUAUCUACAGUUAACUGGAGCUAUAUUCGACGGCUUAUGACCUGACAUUAUACGUGAUUGAAUUUAUUUUGGUUAACUGCCGUUGCAUUUGUGUCCUUAUGUGGUCUGCAACCAGGUAGUCUCGUACAAUCUGGAAAAAAAAAGCUGCAGUGUUCAACCAUCAAACUAGAUCUCAUUUGAGCAUCGCGUACCAAAACCUUGUUGGGCAGCAAAUGCAAAGACGAUUAACGUAAUAAAUGCUCUUCAAUGGGAAAACGUGACUUUCUUGGCCAACCUUCAUUGGCAAACGAGUC
RNAcentral lists this unclassified non-coding RNA (2684 nucleotides) under Hevea brasiliensis (rubber tree). Lineage: Eukaryota; Viridiplantae; Streptophyta; Magnoliopsida; Malpighiales; Euphorbiaceae. The record is from RNAcentral.